Molecule: non-coding RNA, 26 nt
Filed under: Mus musculus (house mouse)
Lineage: Eukaryota; Metazoa; Chordata; Mammalia; Rodentia; Muridae
Source: RNAcentral
GCUAAGGUAAGAAAAGUGAUGCAGGG